This 1151-nucleotide long non-coding RNA is filed under the name Polistes fuscatus (common paper wasp). RNAcentral describes it as "uncharacterized LOC122526725, transcript variant X4". Lineage: Eukaryota; Metazoa; Arthropoda; Insecta; Hymenoptera; Vespidae. The record is from RNAcentral.
AACAAUGUACGCAUCAAAGUUUCUACCUUUAACCAGAAGCACAUAAGGAACAGACGUACCGGAUAUUUAUCACGUUCUAAAAAGACAGGAAACACUAGAAAUGCCGGCCCUCUGCUGAAGAAAAGUUUUAACUAAAAAAUGUGAUUUUAUCUACAGAGCAAGUAUCGUUUAAAUUGUAGAUGCCGCCACAGGUUUAGAAUAAUAAGUAAUAUGUGGUUUCUACUAGUUAAUGAAAUAUUCAACGAAUAUUACGAGCAUAAGGUUAUAUCAUAAACGAUUGAACAAUGUGACCAUUUUCAAAAAUAACGCAUUAUAGAGAACAAGGAAUUUCUAAUAAUCCAUGUCUAUUAUGACAAACAAUGUACGCAUCAAAGUUUCUACCUUUAACCAGAAGCACAUAAGGAACAGACGUACCGGAUAUUUAUCACGUUCUAAAAAGACAGGAAACACUAGAAAUGCCGGCCCUCUGCUGAAGAAAAGUUUUAACUAAAAAAUGUGAUUUUAUCGACAGAGCAAGUAUCGUUUAAAUUGUAGAUGCCGCCACAGGUUUAGAAUAAUAAGUAAUAUGUGGCUUCUACUAGUUAAUGAAAUAUUCAACGAAUAUUACGAGUAUAAGGUUAUAUCAUAAACGAUUGAACAAUGUGACCAUUUUCAAAAAUAACGCAUUAUAGAGAACAAGGAAUUUCUAAUAAUCCAUGUCUAUUAUGACAAACAAUGUACGCAUCAAAGUUUCUACCUUUAACCAGAGAUAUGUUUAAAUAAUUAUAGAAGCACAUAAGGAACAGACGUACCGGAUAUUUAUCACGUUCUAAAAAGACAGGAAACACUAGAAAUGCCGGCCCUCUGCUGAAGAAAAGUUUUAACUAAAAAAUGUGAUUUUAUCUACAGAGCAAGUAUCGUUUAAAUUGUAGAUGCCGCCACAGGUUUAGAAUAAUAAGUAAUAUGUGGUUUCUACUAGUUAAUGAAAUAUUCAACGAAUAUUACGAGCAUAAGGUUAUAUCAUAAACGAUUGAACAAUGUGACCAUUUUCAAAAAUAACGCAUUAUAGAGAACAAGGAAUUUCUAAUAAUCCAUGUCUAUUAUGACAAACAAUGUACGCAUCAAAGUUUCUACCUUUAACCAGGUAUAAUAUAAUUUAACUUUGUAUAAUA